GCAUAUAGACAGUACAUUUUAUACAGACCAAUACAAGGAGUCCCUGUCCGUAAGCUGAAUUUUAGACAUUCAAGUUCUUUGAUACAAAUUAGUUAGCUUGAUAGCCCGUAAGCUUACAAUCUACAGGGAGUGCAGAAUUAUUAGGCAAGUUGUAUUUUUGAGGAUUAAUUUUAUUAUUGAACAACAACCAUGUUCUCAAUGAACCCAAAAA
Molecule: non-coding RNA, 211 nt
Organism: Pelobates cultripes (western spadefoot toad)
Lineage: Eukaryota; Metazoa; Chordata; Amphibia; Anura; Pelobatidae
Source: the annotation of a GenBank genome assembly